GCGCCGCCUUCAGGCUGUCUCCCGAGGGCCCCACUGGGGCGAGUGGAACCGCGGGCUCUCUGGGGGCUCGGUGGGGGGCGCCAUCCUCUAGGCCAGGCAGAGACUGGGCACACCACAGUGUGGGCCUGGGGGGGCCUGGGGGGCCUGGGGCCACGCACCCUCGUCAACUGAGCCCCGUCCCCCUCCUGUCUCUUCCAGCUCGGGAGGAGGCCGGCCCUCCCUUCUGUGAGAUGUCCUGUGGACCCCUCGCCGGUGGCGGCUGCCCUGGGAGCCACAGGCCUUUCGGGGGCCCCUCGAGACGGGGCCCCCAGCCCCUAGGUGCAGGCCCAGGAGGCGCCCAGGGGCUCUUCGGGUCCCCCCACCUCGGACGCCCGCCCCACUCACUGGCUCUGGCUUGUGACAGGCCCCUCUGAUCUGCCCGACUCCCGCACUCACAGCCCCCGAGACGCCAGGAGCUUCUCCAGCUGGAGCAGCUGGAAAACCAGCUGUCAGACGCCAUUCAACGCUACGGCCUUGUGCAAAAGAAAAUUGCAGAGAAAUCCAGAGCACUGCUUCCCACAGCACAGAGGGGCAGCAAACAGAGCCCCCCAGCCCCCUUGGCCGAGCUGCCGGAAGAUGAGAAGAUCUUUAAUGGGGCAACGUGUGGCCGGGCCGGGAGCAGACGCUGCUCCCAGAGCUCCCCGAGGAGGACCCGGAGGCCACCCGGCUGUGGGAGGAGGCCACCCCGCAGAUGGCGGUGAGGCGGGCCUGGGCACGCACUGAGUCUCCCGAGUGCGGGAGAUUCCACGUCGGGCACUGGGAGAGGCUGGUCAGCUCCAUGGAGGGGGUUCACUGCCUACUUCAGGUCACAAUUCAUAUUUCUCUAAUGUCGAAUAAACUGCUUGAAGGAACUGAGCCU
This 898-nucleotide long non-coding RNA is filed under the name Dasypus novemcinctus (nine-banded armadillo). RNAcentral's name for it is "lncRNA (ENSDNOG00000050209.1)". The record is from RNAcentral. Lineage: Eukaryota; Metazoa; Chordata; Mammalia; Cingulata; Dasypodidae.